Theropithecus gelada (gelada) is the source of this 2222-nucleotide long non-coding RNA. Lineage: Eukaryota; Metazoa; Chordata; Mammalia; Primates; Cercopithecidae. The record is from Ensembl.
CUUUUGUGAAUAAUACUCAUAUAAAAUAUUAUACAUCUUAGUUUUAAGAUUGUGGUUUUUGCUCUUUGGGGUGGCAGGUCCACUUCUUGCUAAAAGGAAUCAUCUCGGUGCCUUUGAUUUUCCUUCUCUCCCUUAGGCUAUUGCUUUUAGAAGUAGGGCCUGGAUCUCCCCCCUGUUUGCUUGGGAGUAAACACAUGGUAUCAUGGGGUUAUGAACAUAUGUUGCCUGUGCCAGAUAGCAACACUGGCUCCAGUUUUGAAAAUAAAGGUCCCCUGAAGACCUUGCCAAAGUGUGACAUCACCCGGGAGAAACUCAAGAAUGACAUGGCAGUGGCACCAAGCCCUUCCUCAGGUCGGUGCACCACUGCGUGACCUCCAGGCUGCCACAGCUCCCGGACAAGCACUCGGUUACCACCUUGCUCAACACCUGUGCCCGGAGCAUCCACCAGGCCUGCCUCCCAGCUGCCUAGCCAGGACUGCAGGGAUGGCCCGCAGCCUCAUCGGGGCCAAGGACACACACCUCCUGUCAGACACUUCUAGGUGUUGGCUUCCAUGGAGAGCCUGGAGUUAGGUUAACUUUCCUCCUUUUCUCUUCUGCCUUGGGGAUCUGCCAAGUGAAAUCCCACACUCGCACAGACUGAGACGGGCGCAGUGGAGUGGGCUGCCUGCAGGGCGAUAGCCGUCUUCUUGGAGAAGGUGUUCCAUGUGACUUCCUCCACAAAGCCGGACACGGUCCCCAGCCACCGUCCUCGGGCUGCUCUCACCGCGGCCUGUCCAGGGUCCGGGUCUGUCUCAGCAGCAUCAGGGUGCACUCAGGGUGUUAGAGCGUCUUGUGUGUGCUCGACACACCCCUGCUCCUUUCUAUAGGAGAACACAGAGGACAUAAGAAACCCUUCAAACACACAUGGGAUUCUCUGCUCACAGUUUGGGGUUCAGGCUGCGCUGCUUUGGGCAAGUGGGGCACCCCCUGGAGAAGCCCCUGAGUCCAGGGCACAGGCUGCCUAUCGGAGGGAGGGCUGGCUGAUGGCUGCUGCCGGCUCCCUGCCACCAGCUGGGCUUCGGCCCUUGUGGCAUUCCUGCUGAGCACUGUGGGGCCCCCAGGGAGCAGGGCCAUCAGGGAUCGUGCUGCCAGCACCCCUGUGCCACUUGUGUAAGGGCCGUGUCCAUUGUGAUGGAUGAAGAGCGAGGCCCUCAGGACCCGCGUCCUCAGAACACCACGUGCUGCACCACCCAGAGAAAGCCUGGCAGUGGGCGGGGCCCCCAUGCAGUGAGUGCCUCCCUGUGUUGCCCGCUCACCUGGGCACCGGCCAGCAGCCCUUUGGUGAUGAGGUCCUCCCUUUUUAUGCGAACUACCCCAUCAUCUGUGAUUGUUAUAAUCUUGUGACUCCUGUGUUUGUCAGGAGUUGUCACUGUGUCCCCCUCUCCGUGAACCUGGGCCUGCUGUCCUGUCAGGAUGCUGUCAGCCUUGGGGCCGGCACUGUCCACUCUGGCCCCGGGCCUCAGCUCUCCUUUUCUAACACACCAUCCCAUUCCUUGGCCUGGUUCAUCCCCCAGCUUCCUGGCAAAGUUCCUGCUCCCUGAAGCAGGGAGAGGUUGAGAUUAAUGCCAAGGAAGUGGGGCCAUGGGCUUGGGAAGACUGUGGCUGGGUGACGGUGGGCGCUAAGCUGGGCCAGCCCACCCCCGACUGGACAUGGCUGUGCUGUGGUGGAAGGGGUGGUGCGGGCAUGUCCACACCGUUCUGGAGACGGCCCUCCAAGGAGGAGGGCCUGUCUGGCUGGACCUCUUUGCGGUGCUGUCAGGGCAGGAGAGGACGGCCUCUUGCCCCCAGGAGCAUGUAGUCUGGGCAGGAGACCCAGGGUGAUCAUGUGUUUGAAACGCAGCUCCAGCCCAGCCAGGGGACCAGAAAAGCCCUCCUGCCUCCAGGGAGGAUGUGCACGGCUCUGCCAACGCGCCUCUCCCAGGGCCGCUGGCAGGUCCCGAAUGAGCAAGACUGGGCUGCCCAGGCAGGUCUCUGCAGACAGCAGGGGCUGGGCUAGGAGCCAGGGGCUGGGAAUGGGAAGGGACACGACGCCUGAUAGCCAGUGAGGAACCAGGCAUACAACUUGGAAGUCAAGAAGCUUUAUUUUCAGUUUCAACAGGUCAAGCGAUACCUACUUCAUCAUGUGCUUUUUAUGUAAAUGCUAAAUAGCAAAAUAACAAAAUAAAUGGUUAGUUUAGAGAUCA